Molecule: ribosomal RNA, 743 nt
Filed under: uncultured bacterium
Lineage: Bacteria
Description: bacterial SSU rRNA
Rfam family: Bacterial small subunit ribosomal RNA
Source: RNAcentral
GGGGCAGCGGAGAGUAGCAAUACUCUGCCGGCGACCGGCGAAAGGGUGCGUAACGCGUGAGCAACUUGCCCGUAUCCGGGACAUAAGCGGUGGAAACGCCGUCUAAUUUCCCAUAACAACGAGGGCCGCAUGACCCAUGUUUGAAAGAUCCGUCGGAUACGGAUGGGCUCGCGAGACAUUAGCUAGUCGGCGUGGUAACGGCACACCGAGGCGACGAUGUCUAGGGGUUCUGAGAGGAAGGUCCCCCACACUGGAACUGAGACACGGUCCAGACUCCUACGGGAGGCAGCAGUGAGGAAUAUUGGUCAAUGGGCGCAAGCCUGAACCAGCCAUGCCGCGUGAAGGAAUAAGGCCCUAUGGGUCGUAAACUUCUUUUGUGGUGGAGCAAUAAGGUGCACGUGUGCAUCGAUGAGAGUACAUCACGAAUAAGCAUCGGCUAACUCCGUGCCAGCAGCCGCGGUAAUACGGAGGAUGCAAGCGUUAUCCGGAUUUAUUGGGUUUAAAGGGUGCGUAGGCUGUUCGACAAGUCAGGGGUGAAAGCCCAGUGCCUAACACUGGAACUGCCUUUGAUACUGCCGAGCUGGAAUACGGAUGCCGUGGGAGGAAUGAGUAGUGUAGCGGUGAAAUGCAUAGAUAUUACUCAGAACACCGAUUGCGAAGGCAUCUCACGAAUCCGUCAUUGACGCUGAGGCACGAAAGCGUGGGGAUCAAACAGGAUUAGAUACCCUGGUAGUCCACGCAGU